CAACAAAAGAGGGAGAGAGAGAAUCAAGACUCUGAUAAACAUAGUACUAUUUUUAAAAGAAAUCCAAUAACAAUAAAGAUUGUUCUAUUCUCUGCCUUCCCAUUUAGAUAGGGUUUAAACCAGCAGGAGGCAUCCGCAGUGCAAAGGAUUCCCUUGCUUGGCUCUCUCUUGUAAAGGAGGAGCUUGGAGAUGAGUGGCUGAAGCCAGAACUCUUUCGAAUAGGUGCCAGUACUCUGCUCUCGGACAUUGAGAGGCAGAUUUACCAUCAUGUGACUGGAAGAUAUGCAGCUUAUCAUGAUCUUCCAAUGUCUUAAAUCAGUCACCAGUUCCAGAAAAGUUCUUUACGACAAUGUUUAAAAAUUAUUUUUCUACGUAAUUGCUAAAAUUAUUUAAUUAAAAAAUUGGGCAGUAGGUAACUGGCAUUCCUCUCUUUAAAAUUUCUACCGAACUUAAUGGAAUGGAAAAAGCAAACUCAUCCACAUGUGGUACUCAUUUCAGGCACAUCUGAAAUGAUCUUAAUUACUAGAAGAUCUGCACUAUUAACUUUGUGAAGAGUUUCUCCUAAAAACUUUAAGUAAAAUGUUA
This 585-nucleotide long non-coding RNA is filed under the name Homo sapiens (human). RNAcentral's name for it is "HSALNT0186082". The record is from RNAcentral. Lineage: Eukaryota; Metazoa; Chordata; Mammalia; Primates; Hominidae.